This 30-nucleotide non-coding RNA is filed under the name Rattus norvegicus (Norway rat). Lineage: Eukaryota; Metazoa; Chordata; Mammalia; Rodentia; Muridae. The record is from RNAcentral.
UGUGACAAUGCAUGGUGUCUUGCUAGUUCU